CGCUGUCCCCGUCCCCCCCGUCCCCGUCUCCCAAUAAACGCCGGUGUCCGGUGGAAGGAGGGGGGGGGGGCUGCGGCCCCCGGCGUCGCCUUUAAUUCCCGCCGCGUCGCCGGGGCAGAAACGGCCCCGGAGAGACCCCCGGGACCCGCCGCCGGGAUUUGGGGCCGGGAACAAGUCCAGAGCCAUCAUUUGGGGUCAGGAGCCGGGAUUCGGGGCCGGGAAUUGGGAUUCAGGGCCAGGAACAAGUCCGGAGCCACCGUUCAGGGUCAGGAGCCGGGAUUUGGGGCCAGGAACUGGGAUUUGGGGACCAGGAGCCAGGAUUCGGGGCCGGGAACUGGGAUUUGGGGACUGGAGCGAGUCCGGAGUCACCAUUCGGGGUUGGGAGCCGGGAUUCGGCGACCAAAGCGAGCCAAGAGCUGGGAUUUGGGGACCGGAGCGAGUCCGGAGUCACCGUUCGGGGCUGGGAUUCAGGGCCGGGAACUGGGAUUUGGGGACUGGAGCAAGCCCAGAGCCGCCGUUCGGGGCCGGGAUUUGGGAAUC
Molecule: long non-coding RNA, 540 nt
Filed under: Apteryx owenii (little spotted kiwi)
Lineage: Eukaryota; Metazoa; Chordata; Aves; Apterygiformes; Apterygidae
Description: lncRNA (ENSAOWG00000004356.1)
Source: RNAcentral